RNAcentral lists this ribosomal RNA (163 nucleotides) under Draba confertifolia. Its description in RNAcentral is "5.8S ribosomal RNA". The stretch from base 1 to 79 matches the Rfam family "5.8S ribosomal RNA", at positions 78 to 154 of the family's 154-position model. Lineage: Eukaryota; Viridiplantae; Streptophyta; Magnoliopsida; Brassicales; Brassicaceae. The record is from RNAcentral. RNAcentral also lists the same sequence under 1 other name.
AAUCCCGUGAACCAUCGAGUCUUUGAACGCAAGUUGCGCCCCAAGCCUUCUGGCCGAGGGCACGUCUGCCUGGGUGUCACAAAUCGUCGUCCCCAUCCUAUGCGGAUAAGGGACGGAAGUUGGUCUCCCGUGUGUUACCGCACGCGGUUGGCCUAAAUCUGAG